Molecule: non-coding RNA, 87 nt
Organism: Paramuricea clavata
Lineage: Eukaryota; Metazoa; Cnidaria; Anthozoa; Malacalcyonacea; Plexauridae
Source: the annotation of a GenBank genome assembly
AGGUAAAUUCUACGUUUUGAAGGAUUUGUAAGAAAUGUUUGAGGGAACUCAAUCAUUUCUUACAAAUCCUUCAAAACAUAGAAUUUA